GAGGUAUCGGCACAAAAGGGAAGGAGAAGGUCAUUAAGGAAUAAUCAAGCAAAUUCGGGUUGAAAUAGGGGUCUGAGUCUCGGUUCAGCAUCCAGGUCAAUCCCGACUCCUGCAUAGAGAUUUUGGUGAUGUUUUCUUCCUUAAAUGAAAGUGGCAUGUACAUAAGAAUUAUAAUAGUUAUUUUGGUAUGCUAUAUAGUUUUGUUGUAAACUAAGAUAUUAUGUGUUUUGAUGAUUAUAUUAGUAAAAUGGUAAAAGUUCUUUA
Molecule: long non-coding RNA, 264 nt
Organism: Gossypium raimondii (Peruvian cotton)
Lineage: Eukaryota; Viridiplantae; Streptophyta; Magnoliopsida; Malvales; Malvaceae
Exons: 2
Source: RefSeq, a predicted model, not a curated record